RNAcentral lists this ribosomal RNA (429 nucleotides) under uncultured archaeon. RNAcentral describes it as "bacterial SSU rRNA". It matches the Rfam family "Archaeal small subunit ribosomal RNA", at positions 474 to 903 of the family's 1478-position model. The record is from RNAcentral.
UACCUGCAGCUCGAGUGGUAACCGCUAUUAUUGGGCCUAAAGCGUCCGUAGCCGGUUUGGUAAAUAUCUGGGUAAAUCGUGAGGCUUAACUUCACGAAUUUCGGAUAGACUGCCAGACUUGGGAUCGGGGGAGGUCAGAGGUACUCCAGGGGUAGCGGUGAAAUGUUGUAAUCCUUGGAGGACCACCGGUAGCGAAGGCGUCUGACUAGAACGAGUCCGACGGUGAGGGACGAAGCCCUGGGGCGCAAACCGGAUUAGAUACCCGGGUAGUCCAGGGCGUAAACGAUGUGGGCUUUGUAUUGGAGGUCCCACGUGGGCGUCCAGUGCAGAAGAGAAGUUGUUAAGCCCACCGCCUGGGAAGUACGGUCGCAAGGCUGAAACCUAAAGGAAUUGGCGGGGGAGCACAGCAACGGGAGGAGCGUGCGGUUU